CUACGGGUCGCUCCAGUGGGGAAUAUUGGGCAAUGGGCGCAAGCCUGACCCAGCAACGCCGCGUGAGGGAAGAAGGUUUUCGGAUUGUAAACCUCUGUCCUUGGGGACGAAGAAGUGACGGUACCCAAGGAGGAAGCUCCGGCUAACUACGUGCCAGCAGCCGCGGUAAUACGUAGGGAGCAAGCGUUGUCCGGAAUUACUGGGCGUAAAGGGUGCGUAGGCGGCAUAUUAAGUCAGGUGUGAAAUACUCGGGCUCAACCCGGGGGCUGCAUUUGAAACUGAUAUGCUUGAGUAUGAGAGAGGAAAGUGGAAUUCCUAGUGUAGCGGUGGAAUGCGUAGAUAUUAGGAGGAACACCAGUGGCGAAGGCGACUUUCUGGCUCAUAACUGACGCUGAGGCACGAAAGCGUGGGGAGCAAACAGGAUUAGAUACCCCCGUAGUC
Molecule: ribosomal RNA, 441 nt
Filed under: uncultured bacterium
Lineage: Bacteria
Description: partial 16S ribosomal RNA
Rfam family: Bacterial small subunit ribosomal RNA
Source: RNAcentral